CCCGUUUUUCAAAGCAUAAAAAGGGGUAUUAUUUAUUUAUUUUUUUUAAAUCAACACGCUUAAAUAAAAUGGCGCGCGUGAACGCCCGCAGCUAUCUCGGCAAUUCGUCAUUCAAUAGAAAAUAAAUAUAACAUCAACACAUUAUAUUACAGGGCUUCCUCGAAGCAAAGUGUGUACCUGAAUAAUUUACAUACAGCGGAUACAUUAAGUUCAUCAACCAAAAGACACGAGUUAUGAACCGAAUAUAUCACCAGGCCAAAAGGCACUAAACAUGUCUGAGUAUAAAUGUAUAAGACAUACAGUC
RNAcentral lists this long non-coding RNA (304 nucleotides) under Trifolium pratense (red clover). Its description in RNAcentral is "long non-coding RNA (TPRA_LNC009805)". The record is from RNAcentral. Lineage: Eukaryota; Viridiplantae; Streptophyta; Magnoliopsida; Fabales; Fabaceae.